UUAACGACUCUCGGCAACGGAUAUCUCGGCUCUCGCAUCGAUGAAGAACGUAGCGAAAUGCGAUACUUGGUGUGAAUUGCAGAAUCCCGUGAACCAUCGAGUCUUUGAACGCAAGUUGCGCCCUAGGCCGUCGGGCUGAGGGCACGCCUGCCUGGGCGUCACGC
Molecule: ribosomal RNA, 164 nt
Filed under: Kermadecia elliptica
Lineage: Eukaryota; Viridiplantae; Streptophyta; Magnoliopsida; Proteales; Proteaceae
Also listed under: 1 other name
Description: 5.8S ribosomal RNA
Rfam family: 5.8S ribosomal RNA
About the family: 5.8S ribosomal RNA (5.8S rRNA) is a component of the large subunit of the eukaryotic ribosome. It is transcribed by RNA polymerase I as part of the 45S precursor that also contains 18S and 28S rRNA. Functionally, it is thought that 5.8S rRNA may be involved in ribosome translocation.
Source: RNAcentral